RNAcentral lists this transfer RNA (78 nucleotides) under Deltaproteobacteria bacterium. RNAcentral describes it as "tRNA-Met". It matches the Rfam family "tRNA". From Rfam's summary of the family: Transfer RNA (tRNA) molecules are approximately 80 nucleotides in length. Their secondary structure includes four short double-helical elements and three loops (D, anti-codon, and T loops). Further hydrogen bonds mediate the characteristic L-shaped molecular structure. tRNAs have two regions of fundamental functional importance: the anti-codon, which is responsible for specific mRNA codon recognition, and the 3' end, to which the tRNAs corresponding amino acid is attached (by aminoacyl-tRNA synthetases). tRNAs cope with the degeneracy of the genetic code in two manners: having more than one tRNA (with a specific anti-codon) for a particular amino acid; and 'wobble' base-pairing, i.e. permitting non-standard base-pairing at the 3rd anti-codon position. RNAcentral also lists the same sequence under 1 other name. The record is from RNAcentral. Lineage: Bacteria; Pseudomonadati; Myxococcota; Myxococcia.
GCCGAGGUAGCUCAGUCGGUUGAGAGCGAGGGAUUCAUAACCCCUAGGUCGCCGGUUCGAUUCCGGCCUUCGGCACCA